CAUAAAACCAAAUUCCUCAAGGAUGUAUUGUUAUAUGCAAAUUGAGGAAAUUCAUAAUCAAAUGAAAGGAGUAAAGCAAAAUCUUCAACAUUAGCAAUUUUAGUUCAAAAUAUACCCAUAAAUAGCCAUCUCUAGCAAACCUCUCUGGGUUAGGAAAAUUGACAACCAAGAAGAAUUUUAUGAUAUCGUGGCAAGACCCCUCUAAUAAUAAGCUCCCUGUGGGUGGAAGUCACAUAAUCAACGCCAGUCACGAAAUAGCGCGAAAUUGGAAAAGAUUUCCAAAGAAACCGCCAUCGAGUAGAUAACAUGCAAGUUCUCACAAAUUUCUUCGUCACACGACAAACAGAGAAUGUGAAUUAGAAUGACUCAGGCAAAUCUCUAAGUCGGUUUUUUUCUUUUUCUGUCGCCACCAUCAUUUUCUUCUUUUGCACUUCCAUGGCUGAACGAAGCUUUGUCUCCUCUUGUUUCAAAUUUGAUAAUUGUGAAUUGUAUAACGGAAAAGGGCUAAAAUUACUCCUGAACAAUAUCAUUUCUUUGUUUUUAUGGCUUAAAAAUACCCCUUAGUUUUUUUUAGCUCUUAAUUAUCUCUUAUUGACAUCUAAUUUUUGUUGUCUACGAUUGAGCUCAAUUCGAGUUUCUUUAAUUUUAAAUAAAAUUACAACAUUUAUUUUAUUCAAAUAAGAUCUUUCCAAAGUAUCUAUCUAGGUAAUUUUAGUCGUUUUAAGUAGCGAUUAUAUUUUUAUAUUUGCGUAUAUGAAAUCAUAUAAUUUUACAGAAAAUUAAGUUUUAAUCAAGGUUAUUAGAAAUAUGGAUUCACAUGGAUAAAAUUUUGCUUUAAAAUUAAUUUAUUCCUAAAACAAUUAUUUUGGAAAAUAUUUGUUUGAUUUUAUUAAAUCAAGAAGCUCGGGAUUGAAUUGGUCGUUAAUUUGUUUCACAUAUUAUUUCAAUUUAGUCAAUUUAUUAAAUUAGAACUUAAUUGAAAAUCAAAUUGAUCAUAAUUACAAUACAAUUGAUCAAUUGAAUUUUAAUUAGGCUAAAAUUUUAAUAUAAUUGUCUAAAUUUCCAUUUUAACUAUUUGAUAAAUGGCCUAAAUCCCAAAAAUCUCUUAGUUUCUGCCCUCCCCUUUCUGAAAAUUACUCCAAACUGCCCCAAUUUAGGCCCAAAACAAUUUCAGCCCAACAAAACAAUAACAACAAUUGAGCCCCCAUAUAAUACUAACCAGCCGCCCAAACAGCCCAAAAUGGCUAACCCGGCCCAUUUACAUCACCGUAGCAACAACUCCAACAAACACCCGAUAACAACAGCUUCAACCAACCAGUGACAACAUCAACGACGUACAAACAACCAACAACGACAAAUCCCUGACCCGAUAACGACCUUGCAAGACCCAAUUCCGUUGAAACCCAACCCGACAACCAACAACGGUAGAAAACCCAGCUUCCCCAUUUAUCAUUUUACCCCUUCGGUACAGCCGUCUGUGGCUAAAAAAUCAAGAACUUUUAUGUGUUCAGUCCAUUGUUCAUCAUUUCAGGCGAAAAAUUAACUCGCCCUUUGACCAAACAUCUCUUUUUCUCUCCAUUGAUUCUUAAGGAUGAAGGUCAUUAAUGGCCUUUGUCUCACUGUGGAUGUGAAAAUUUUUAAGGAUUGGGUUAAAUUUCAGAUUCGAAGUCCAUCUUUUUUUUCAAAAAUUCAAAACCUAAUUUCUCCCCCAAUUUCUCUUAUAAAUAGACGUUGAGGGAUAAGGGAAAAGCGGAGAAUUUCGGAAAAAAACUUGGAGGUUCGGGAGGCGCAUGCUUCUAACCUCACGCAACCGAAAUUCUCUCUCGAGAGUCGAUUCCAACGAAAGUUAAAAUUCUGACGAGAAAUUGAAAAGCCGAUGGGUCAAGGUUGAAAUUUUGGUGGAAGCAAGUUAAAUUUUAGUGGAAUUUCGUUCGAUCAAAAGCUCGUCAUCCCGGUAUCGCUGCGCAAAAAUAGUUCAAACGGACUUCCCUCUUGCAUAUCCAUUGAGUCAAACUCCAUGCCCAAGUUUCAAAAUGAACCAAAAGACAAGUAUACAGGCUGGUAUAUACCUAUUUGGUUCAUAUUAAGAGUGGAAGCAAACAUGCUGAUUUUUCUACGCUUAUACGCAAAGUAUACACGAUGAUGUAUAAAAACGCGCAGAAAAAUAUAGCUGUGAUAUACAACUAAUAUACAUGUAUGGAAAUGGACUUAAAGUCCAUAAAAUUGCAAGCCUAAGGCUGGACAGCUUACUGAUGGGCCAAAAGGGGCCCAACCCCAACUUUAAUUUUUUAUUCUCUUAUAAAAUGCAACUUAUAUACUUAUAUAUUUGUAUUAGCACUAAUUUUAAUUAAUUAACCUAGUGGUUUAUCGCGUUGUUGGCA
Molecule: long non-coding RNA, 2381 nt
Organism: Capsicum annuum
Lineage: Eukaryota; Viridiplantae; Streptophyta; Magnoliopsida; Solanales; Solanaceae
Exons: 2
Source: RefSeq, a predicted model, not a curated record